CUCAUACCGGUUUGGAACAACUUGAGGAUGGUCUUUGGAGAUUGCAUUAAAGUUGCAUUAAAACCCUGACGUCCUCCUUCAUUGCCAUACAAAGUGGGUUGGAACAAAUUUCAUUCUGUAUUUGGAGGAGGAGG
Sinocyclocheilus anshuiensis is the source of this 134-nucleotide long non-coding RNA. RefSeq lists it as uncharacterized. NCBI's taxonomy places the organism in Eukaryota, Metazoa, Chordata, Actinopteri, Cypriniformes, Cyprinidae. The transcript is spliced from 3 exons. The record is from RefSeq and is a predicted model, not a curated record.